CCCGCGCGGAGACCAAGUGAACACACAGUUUGUAUGUGAUUGUUGCUUAUAUCCUUAGCAUCAGGAUACAUUCGCAUCGAUUGCUCAACUCUCCGAUGGAUCCAAAGAAAAGUACUGAGAAUGGCGUGGAGGACAGUGUGGCCAGUAAUGAUGAAGAUCUGUAUGUUUGUGACCAGUACAGUGUGGCCAGCAGUGUGGACAGCACAGCAGAGGAAAUGUUAAGGAACGGUCUUGACCCUGUUCUAGAUUGAUCGACAAUGAAAGUGACGUGAGAUGUGGCCUACCCAUACUCUGAAUUAGAGCUCUGCAUUUAUCCGAUCCAAAGUGCAC
Molecule: long non-coding RNA, 330 nt
Organism: Sinocyclocheilus grahami
Lineage: Eukaryota; Metazoa; Chordata; Actinopteri; Cypriniformes; Cyprinidae
Exons: 3
Source: RefSeq, a predicted model, not a curated record